RNAcentral lists this ribosomal RNA (496 nucleotides) under uncultured bacterium. RNAcentral describes it as "partial 16S ribosomal RNA". It matches the Rfam family "Bacterial small subunit ribosomal RNA", at positions 28 to 506 of the family's 1533-position model. The record is from RNAcentral.
GAUGAACGCUGGCGGCGUGCCUAAUACAUGCAAGUCGAGCGAACAGACGAGGAGCUUGCUCCUCUGACGUUAGCGGCGGACGGGUGAGUAACACGUGGAUAACCUACCUAUAAGACUGGGAUAACUUCGGGAAACCGGAGCUAAUACCGGAUAAUAUAUUGAACCGCAUGGUUCAAUAGUGAAAGACGGUUUUGCUGUCACUUAUAGAUGGAUCCGCGCCGCAUUAGCUAGUUGGUAAGGUAACGGCUUACCAAGGCAACGAUGCGUAGCCGACCUGAGAGGGUGAUCGGCCACACUGGAACUGAGACACGGUCCAGACGCCUACGGGAGGCAGCAGUAGGGAAUCUUCCGCAAUGGGCGAAAGCCUGACGGAGCAACGCCGCGUGAGUGAUGAAGGGCUUCGGAUCGUAAAACUCUGUUAUUAGGGAAGAACAAAUGUGUAAGUAACUAUGCACGUCUUGACGGUACCUAAUCAGAAAGCCACGGCUAACUACGU